Molecule: ribosomal RNA, 303 nt
Filed under: uncultured bacterium
Lineage: Bacteria
Description: bacterial SSU rRNA
Rfam family: Bacterial small subunit ribosomal RNA
Source: RNAcentral
UGGGGAAUAUUGCACAAUGGGGGAAACCCUGAUGCAGCGACGCCGCGUGAAGGAAGAAGUAUCUCGGUAUGUAAACUUCUAUCAGCAGGGAAGAAAAUGACGGUACCUGACUAAGAAGCUCCGGCUAAAUACGUGCCAGCAGCCGCGGUAAUACGUAUGGAGCAAGCGUUAUCCGGAUUUACUGGGUGUAAAGGGAGCGCAGGCGGCAUGGCAAGUCAGAUGUGAAAGCCCGGGGCUCAACCCCGGGACUGCAUUUGAAACUGUCAGGCUGGAGUGCAGGAGAGGCAGGCGGAAUUCCUAGUG